AUAAUACAUGCUUUUAUCUUGUAUUAUAUCCACGUUUCUCCUACUCCUAAUGGGACUGUAUCAUGCACAUGCUAUCCAAUGUAGUUCCGCUCCAUCUGUCAUCAUAUUACCGCGUCGAAUGCACAUGAGUUUGUGUACAGACGUGAAAUUGGUUUAUUUCCGUUGCCUACAAGACUAUAUUGAAACGUUUUACGGAAAAGUGAAUGAUUACUAACAUGAUGAAACAAGUAAAGAAAAAAAUCAGUUUUAAAAACAUGCACGCCGUUAAAAAUAUGUUUUUAAUACAAUUAACGAACGAAAUUAGAUUUAUUUCUUAAAAUGACAAGUAUGUAGGUACGAGUGUUUACAUUUCUUAAGAGCUUUUGUGGAUAGAUAUACCCAUCCUGUCAGUUUUUACCGCGAAGCUGCGAAGCGUUUUCAUGCCAUGGAUACAACAAAGUAAUCAUCAUCGUUGAUUCUGAGAAGAUCCUGAAGAAGACUCUGAGAAGAUCUUCGUCAGUGAGAAGAUCCGAUGAGAAACUCGGUGGGCUGUGUCUAUGGGUUAGUUUACUCGCCGAGCCCUUCGCCGCUAGCGACGGGUUCGACGAGAACCUAAAAGCACCGUUAGUGGAUCGGGAGGAUCCGAAAUGACGUGUUUAGGACGAUGUCGACUGUUUACCAUUCGGUCCGCAGUAUCGGGUAUGUAGUUUCCGACGGCCACGACAAGACGAUUUUCGUGUCAUAACUUUCUCAAAGUGGCGCACUGAUGCCGACUGAAAAUACUUACUGACGGAGUCAAGCUCUAGAUCAUCAUGGAGAUCCACGUCCCUCAAGAACCGCGGUGCUCUGCCGGCUAUCCUGCAAAAAUGGGAUUGGGUAACUUGAAGGGGUUUCAGAUUAGUGCGGGCCGCGUGAGCGAUCACAACACUCGCAUAGGUCAUGACCGGGCGAAUGCUAGUUUUGUAGACUAUUACCUUAUUACGGGGACAAUUUACUUCGCUUGCAAAUCAUCCGAUAGUAUACUCCCAAAAGCCACACAUAAGCGCGCUGGCACAAGCAGAACCAACUUAAUCAGCUUGUAUGCGUUCUGUUUCCCUACCUAUGCUGGUAACCUUAGUCACGUAACCAAUCUCACGGGGCUCUAACCUGACGAAGCUGUAAGUAGGUGGGCGUAGGCGUGUUUUCUCUUUUAACACUAAAAACAAAAUUUGUUGUAGGUUUGUUCACAUUCAAUUACAAAUCUAAAACAAAUUCGUAAUUUAAUUAUUAUUAUAUUUGUCUACAAGUUUUAUUUAUAGGAACAAAAAUACUAUUUGGGCAUAAACAAGAUCUAUUAGUUAAAAUGAAAACACCAUGGAGGAUAUUUUAAUUAAGAGCUGAAAAUCUUCAAUAAAAACCUAACUAACUAACUCUAGUUUAAUUUACAUUAAUAAUUUUAUUAAUAGACGAGUGUACAUAAAAUAAAAUAUGCGAAUAAAAAAUAACCAAGAUUAUAGAAAGCUAAUCGAAGCUUUGUAUCGUCCAAACAAUUAAACCUUCUGUAUACAUUUGUAAUCUCUGGAAGAGACUAAUAAGGUAACCAUGGCAACGCACAAAGACCCAAUCUCAGUUUUAAUCACGACGAAUUCGGAUGAACGAACCCCUUUGAUUCGGUUCUUUUGAUAGUGAGUGACUCAGUCGCGAUAUUUGAUUUAUAAUUUUUAUACAUUAUGAACGUAAAAUAAUUGGGGUAUUUUCUAGAUUAUUUAACAUCUAAUUUCGGCCAAGAAACAUGUGACUGUUGGAUUUUAAAUGCAUUAUUAACCUCUUUAGGGUUAUUGACACAUAUUAAUAUGUGUACGUAGUUUUUUUAAAAGUUAUUUAUACAUUUAAUUAUACGGUAAAUUGUCACACAUGAGGACUUUCCUUUUAAUGUAUACUCACUAAUUUUGUUUUUUUUCUUUUACCUACAAAAAAUUACAAAUCUCAGUAAAAAUUAUAUUAAAUUUAUUUUAUUUGUAUGUACCUUAAAGAUUUCGUCUCUGAGGACGUUAUAAUAAUCUAACAUCUACAAAUGGCAUGGAACAUUAUUAUCAUUCAAUAUUUCGCACCUACGCAAACUUUUGUCUAUUUAAAAGUAUGUAUUUGAAUCUUCGGAAAUAAUGUAUGGACUAUGGAAAAAUAAACGCGCGAAAUUUAACCCAAAAAA
Molecule: long non-coding RNA, 2167 nt
Organism: Bombyx mori (domestic silkworm)
Lineage: Eukaryota; Metazoa; Arthropoda; Insecta; Lepidoptera; Bombycidae
Exons: 2
Source: RefSeq, a predicted model, not a curated record